UACGUAGGGUGCAAGCGUUAAUCGGAAUUACUGGGCGUAAAGCGUGCGCAGGCGGUUUUGUAAGUCUGUCGUGAAAGCCCCGGGCUCAACCUGGGAAUUGCGAUGGAGACUGCAAGGCUUGAAUCUGGCAGAGGGGGGUAGAAUUCCACGUGUAGCAGUGAAAUGCGUAGAGAUGUGGAGGAACACCGAUGGCGAAGGCAGCCCCCUGGGUCAAGAUUGACGCUCAUGCACGAACGCGUGGGGAGCAAACAGG
This 253-nucleotide ribosomal RNA is filed under the name uncultured bacterium. RNAcentral describes it as "partial 16S ribosomal RNA". It matches the Rfam family "Bacterial small subunit ribosomal RNA", at positions 524 to 776 of the family's 1533-position model. The record is from RNAcentral.